This 233-nucleotide unclassified non-coding RNA is filed under the name plant metagenome. RNAcentral describes it as "partial contains small subunit ribosomal RNA, internal transcribed spacer 1, and 5.8S ribosomal RNA". The record is from RNAcentral.
UUUCCGUAGGGGAACCUGCGGAAGGAUCAUUAUUGGAUUUUGAAACUUCAGCCUGCUGCUGGCUCCCCCCGGAGUGCAUGUGGACGCUUGUUGUCCAUUAUUUCUCCCACUGUGCACAAAUUGUAGACAUUUCAGUAGGCCUCUGUUGUUUUUCACAAUCUCUGAAUGUAAUAGAAUGGUUGUGAAUCUUGGGAAAUACAAUACAACUUUCAGCAACGGAUCUCUUGGCUCUC